Molecule: ribosomal RNA, 491 nt
Filed under: uncultured bacterium
Lineage: Bacteria
Description: partial 16S ribosomal RNA
Rfam family: Bacterial small subunit ribosomal RNA
Source: RNAcentral
GAUGAACGCUGGCUACAGGCUUAACACAUGCAAGUCGAGGGGAAACGACGGGGAAGCUUGCUUCCCCGGGCGUCGACCGGCGCACGGGUGAGUAACGCGUAUCCAACCUGCCUCUGACUGAGGGAUAAACCGUCGAAAGUCGGCCUAAUACCUCAUGGCAUCGUCUGCGGGCAUCCAACGACGAUUAAAGAUUUCAUCGGUCAGGGAUGGGGAUGCGUCUGAUUAGCUUGUUGGCGGGGUAACGGCCCACCAAGGCUACGAUCAGUAGGGGUUCUGAGAGGAAGGUCCCCCACAUUGGAACUGCGACACGGUCCAAACUCCUACGGGAGGCAGCAGUGAGGAAUAUUGUUCAAUGGGCGGGAGCCUGAACCAGCCAAGUAGCGUGCAGGAUGACUGCCCUAUGGGUUGUAAACUGCUUUUAUGCGGGGAUAAAGUGAGGGACGUGUCCUUCAUUGCAGGUACCGCAUGAAUAAGGACCGGCUAAGUCCGUG